Molecule: transfer-messenger RNA, 364 nt
Filed under: Usitatibacter palustris
Lineage: Bacteria; Pseudomonadati; Pseudomonadota; Betaproteobacteria; Nitrosomonadales; Usitatibacteraceae
Description: Standard tmRNA
Rfam family: transfer-messenger RNA
About the family: Bacterial tmRNA, also known as 10Sa RNA or SsrA, is named for its dual tRNA and mRNA-like properties. Its role is to liberate the mRNA from a stalled ribosome. To accomplish this part of the tmRNA is used as a reading frame that ends in a translation stop signal.
Source: Rfam by way of RNAcentral
GGGGGCGACAUGGUUUCGACGUGGGUACUGAAGCAGUUCAGGGCAUGCCGAGGCGUGGUUACCUCGUAAAAACAGCCGCAAGCUACAUAAACGCAAACGACGACCGCUACACUCUGGCUGCUUAAUACCGGCCGGACUCUGCACCGGAUUUCCAUUGGUCCGGGCGGGUAAAACCGCAGCAGAGCCAUACACAAUGGAUCGCCCUCCGCAGGGCCACUUUGCGGAGGGCUAAAUCCAAGGUGGCUCGCCUUCGUCCAGCCCGCCUGCCGGCGGGACGGGGGUCAAAUCAAAUGGCGUGGCUACGCAUGUAGAACUGGCUGUGAACGUCUUGCGGACGCGGGUUCGAUUCCCGCCGCCUCCACCA